GAUGAAGAACGCAGCGAAAUGCGAUAAGUAGUGUGAAUUGCAGAAUUCAGUGAAUCAUCGAAUCUUUGAACGCACAUUGCGCCCCUUGGUAUCCCGAGGGGCAUGCCUGUUCGAGCGUCAUUUCACCACUCAAGCCUGGCUUGGUGUUGGGCGACGUCCCCUUUGGGGACGCGCCUCGAAACGCUCGGCGGCGUGGCACCGGCUUUAAGCGUAGCAGAAUCUUUCGCUUUGGAAGUCGGGGCCCCGUCUGCCGGAAGACCUACUCGCAAGGUUGACCUCGGAUCAGGCAGGGAUACCCGCUGAACUUAAGCAUAUCAAUAAGCGGGGA
Molecule: unclassified non-coding RNA, 328 nt
Filed under: soil metagenome
Description: partial contains 5.8S ribosomal RNA, internal transcribed spacer 2, and large subunit ribosomal RNA
Rfam family: 5.8S ribosomal RNA (bases 1-120)
Source: RNAcentral